UAAGGAAUAUUGCGCAAUGGACGAAAGUCUGACGCAGCAACGCCGCGUGCAGGAUGAAGGCCCUCUGGGUCGUAAACUGCUGUAGCAGGGGAAUAAUGGCCACUUCGAGUGGUUUGAAGGUACCCUGAAAGUAAGCUCCGGCUAACUACGUGCCAGCAGCCGCGGUAAUACGUAGGGAGCAAGCGUUGUCCGGAUUCACUGGGUGUAAAGGGUGCGCAGGCGGACCUGUAAGUCAGGGGUGAAAUCUCACAGCUCAACUGUGAAACUGCCUUUGAUACUGUGGGUCUUGAGUUCGGGAGAGGUUGAUGGAAUUCCAGGUGUAGCGGUGAAAUGCGUAGAUAUCUGGAAGAACACCGGUGGCGAAGGCGGUCAACUGACCCGUAACUGACGCUCAGGCACGAAAGCGUGGGGAGCAAACAG
RNAcentral lists this ribosomal RNA (420 nucleotides) under uncultured bacterium. RNAcentral describes it as "bacterial SSU rRNA". It matches the Rfam family "Bacterial small subunit ribosomal RNA", at positions 355 to 775 of the family's 1533-position model. The record is from RNAcentral.